CAUCAUAAUUUUUAUGGAGAGUUUGAUCCUGGCUCAGGAUGAACGCUGGCGGCGUGCCUAAUACAUGCAAGUCGAGCGAACGGCGGACGAGAAGCUUGCUUCUCUGAUGUUAGCGGCGGACGGGUGAGUAACACGUGGAUAACCUACCUAUAAGACUGGGAUAACUUCGGGAAACCGGAGCUAAUACCGGAUAAUAUUUUGAACCGCAUGGUUCAAAAGUGAAAGACGGUCUUGCUGUCACUUAUAGAUGGAUCCGCGCUGCAUUAGCUAGUUGGUAAGGUAACGGCUUACCAAGGCAACGAUGCAUAGCCGACCUGAGAGGGUGAUCGGCCACACUGGAACUGAGACACGGUCCAGACUCCUACGGGAGGCAGCAGUAGGGAAUCUUCCGCAAUGGGCGAAAGCCUGACGGAGCAACGCCGCGUGAGUGAUGAAGGUCUUCGGAUCGUAAAACUCUGUUAUUAGGGAAGAACAUAUGUGUAAGUAACUGUGCACAUCUUGACGGUACCUAAUCAGAAAGCCACGGCUAACUACGUGCCAGCAGCCGCGGUAAUACGUAGGUGGCAAGCGUUAUCCGGAAUUAUUGGGCGUAAAGCGCGCGUAGGCGGUUUUUUAAGUCUGAUGUGAAAGCCCACGGCUCAACCGUGGAGGGUCAUUGGAAACUGGAAAACUUGAGUGCAGAAGAGGAAAGUGGAAUUCCAUGUGUAGCGGUGAAAUGCGCAGAGAUAUGGAGGAACACCAGUGGCGAAGGCGACUUUCUGGUCUGUAACUGACGCUGAUGUGCGAAAGCGUGGGGAUCAAACAGGAUUAGAUACCCUGGUAGUCCACGCCGUAAACGAUGAGUGCUAAGUGUUAGGGGGUUUCCGCCCCUUAGUGCUGCAGCUAACGCAUUAAGCACUCCGCCUGGGGAGUACGACCGCAAGGUUGAAACUCAAAGGAAUUGACGGGGACCCGCACAAGCGGUGGAGCAUGUGGUUUAAUUCGAAGCAACGCGAAGAACCUUACCAAAUCUUGACAUCCUUUGACAACUCUAGAGAUAGAGCUUUCCCCUUCGGGGGACAAAGUGACAGGUGGUGCAUGGUUGUCGUCAGCUCGUGUCGUGAGAUGUUGGGUUAAGUCCCGCAACGAGCGCAACCCUUAAGCUUAGUUGCCAUCAUUAAGUUGGGCACUCUAAGUUGACUGCCGGUGACAAACCGGAGGAAGGUGGGGAUGACGUCAAAUCAUCAUGCCCCUUAUGAUUUGGGCUACACACGUGCUACAAUGGACAAUACAAAGGGCAGCGAAACCGCGAGGUCAAGCAAAUCCCAUAAAGUUGUUCUCAGUUCGGAUUGUAGUCUGCAACUCGACUACAUGAAGCUGGAAUCGCUAGUAAUCGUAGAUCAGCAUGCUACGGUGAAUACGUUCCCGGGUCUUGUACACACCGCCCGUCACACCACGAGAGUUUGUAACACCCGAAGCCGGUGGAGUAACCUUUUAGGAGCUAGCCGUCGAAGGUGGGACAAAUGAUUGGGGUGAAGUCGUAACAAGGUAGCCGUAUCGGAAGGUGCGGCUGGAUCACCUCCUUUCUA
RNAcentral lists this ribosomal RNA (1568 nucleotides) under Staphylococcus aureus. Its description in RNAcentral is "16S ribosomal RNA". It matches the Rfam family "Bacterial small subunit ribosomal RNA". The record is from RNAcentral. Lineage: Bacteria; Bacillati; Bacillota; Bacilli; Caryophanales; Staphylococcaceae.